UUGAACUGAAGAGUUUGAUCAUGGCUCAGAUUGAACGCUGGCGGCAGGCCUAACACAUGCAAGUCGAGCGGUAGAGAGAAGCUUGCUUCUCUUGAGAGCGGCGGACGGGUGAGUAAUGCCUAGGAAUCUGCCUGGUAGUGGGGGAUAACGUUCGGAAAC
RNAcentral lists this ribosomal RNA (159 nucleotides) under Pseudomonas simiae. RNAcentral's name for it is "16S rRNA. Bacterial SSU". It matches the Rfam family "Bacterial small subunit ribosomal RNA", at positions 1 to 157 of the family's 1533-position model. The record is from RNAcentral. Lineage: Bacteria; Pseudomonadati; Pseudomonadota; Gammaproteobacteria; Pseudomonadales; Pseudomonadaceae.